GUCCUAGCCGUAAACGAUGGACACUAGGUGUUGGAUCCUUCUUGGGUACAGUGCCGCAGAUAACUCGUUAAGUGUCCCACCUGAGGAGUACGGCCGCAAGGUUGAAACUCAAAGGAAUUGACGGGGGCCAGCACAAGCGGUGGAACAUGUGGUUCAAUUCGAUGCUACGCGAAGAACCUUACCCAGGCUUGACAUGCAAGAAGUAGGGACCUGAAAGGGAACCCACUCGUAACCAGUCGAGAGCUUGCACAGGUGCUGCAUGGCUGUCGU
Molecule: ribosomal RNA, 270 nt
Filed under: uncultured bacterium
Lineage: Bacteria
Description: partial 16S ribosomal RNA
Rfam family: Bacterial small subunit ribosomal RNA
Source: RNAcentral